GAGCACUUGCCUUACAAGCAAGGGGUCGCAGGUUCGAACCCUGCAUCCUCCACCA
RNAcentral lists this transfer RNA (55 nucleotides) under Halobacillus trueperi. Its description in RNAcentral is "tRNA-Ser". It matches the Rfam family "tRNA", at positions 21 to 71 of the family's 71-position model. Rfam says of the family: Transfer RNA (tRNA) molecules are approximately 80 nucleotides in length. Their secondary structure includes four short double-helical elements and three loops (D, anti-codon, and T loops). The record is from RNAcentral. Lineage: Bacteria; Bacillati; Bacillota; Bacilli; Caryophanales; Bacillaceae.